UAAUCUGUUUGGGGUAAAUCCUCAUCUAGUUGUGAUAGAUUCACACCUAACUACUCAGAAUUAUCUGUUAUCUCAAGACUGAUUGCGUCCAUUACUCAUGUUGAAUUCAAGAUGUUUUUUUUUAUAUAAACAUUGA
Non-coding RNA from Populus trichocarpa (black cottonwood), 136 nucleotides. The record is from Rfam. NCBI's taxonomy places the organism in Eukaryota, Viridiplantae, Streptophyta, Magnoliopsida, Malpighiales, Salicaceae.